RNAcentral lists this transfer RNA (72 nucleotides) under Camelus bactrianus (Bactrian camel). It matches the Rfam family "tRNA". Rfam says of the family: Transfer RNA (tRNA) molecules are approximately 80 nucleotides in length. Their secondary structure includes four short double-helical elements and three loops (D, anti-codon, and T loops). Lineage: Eukaryota; Metazoa; Chordata; Mammalia; Artiodactyla; Camelidae. RNAcentral also lists the same sequence under 2 other names. The record is from Rfam by way of RNAcentral.
GAGGGUGUAGCUCAGUGGUAGAGUGUGUGCUUAGCAUGCACGAGGUCCUGGGUUCAAUCCCCAGCACCUCCA